UACUAUGGAAGUCCCCAGUAGUCA
This 24-nucleotide non-coding RNA is filed under the name Mus musculus (house mouse). The record is from RNAcentral. Lineage: Eukaryota; Metazoa; Chordata; Mammalia; Rodentia; Muridae.